Molecule: ribosomal RNA, 253 nt
Filed under: uncultured bacterium
Lineage: Bacteria
Description: partial 16S ribosomal RNA
Rfam family: Bacterial small subunit ribosomal RNA
Source: RNAcentral
UACGGGGGGGGCAAGCGUUGUUCGGAAUUACUGGGCGUAAAGGGCUCGUAGGCGGCCAACUAAGUCGGAUGUGAAAUCCCCAGGCUUAACCUGGGAACUGCAUCCGAUACUGGAUGGCUUGAAUCCGGGAGAGGGAUGCAGAAUUCCAGGUGUAGCGGUGAAAUGCGUAGAUAUCAGGAAGAACACCAAUGGCGAAAGCAGCUUUCUGGGACGGUACUGACGCUGAGACGCGAAAGCGUGGGGAGCGAACAGG